RNAcentral lists this ribosomal RNA (528 nucleotides) under uncultured bacterium. RNAcentral describes it as "bacterial SSU rRNA". It matches the Rfam family "Bacterial small subunit ribosomal RNA", at positions 983 to 1509 of the family's 1533-position model. The record is from RNAcentral.
GACAUCCAGAGAAUUUAGCAGAGAUGCUUUAGUGCCUUCGGGAACUCUGAGACAGGUGCUGCAUGGCUGUCGUCAGCUCGUGUUGUGAAAUGGUUGGGUUAAGUCCCGNAACGAGCGCAACCCUUAUCCUUUGUUGCCAGCACGUAAUGGUGGGAACUCAAAGGAGACUGCCGGUGAUAAACCGGAGGAAGGUGGGGAUGACGUCAAGUCAUCAUGGCCCUUACGAGUAGGGCUACACACGUGCUACAAUGGCGCAUACAAAGAGAAGCGACCUCGCGAGAGCAAGCGGACCUCAUAAAGUGCGUCGUAGUCCGGAUUGGAGUCUGCAACUCGACUCCAUGAAGUCGGAAUCGCUAGUAAUCGUAAAUCAGAAUGUUACGGUGAAUACGUUCCCGGGCCUUGUACACACCGCCCGUCACACCAUGGGAGUGGGUUGCAAAAGAAGUAGAUAGCUUAACCUUCGGGAGGGCGUUUACCACUUUGUGAUUCAUGACUGGGGUGAAGUCGUAACAAGGUAGGCGUAGUGCU